AUGAACAAGUCAAGGUGCCAGGACAAGCACAGAGGAGGCCUUCGCAGAAUGAUAAGAGAGCACAAGACGAGGCUCUACAUAAUCCGGCGAUGCAUCGUCAUGCUUCUUUGUCACCACGACUAA
Molecule: ribosomal RNA, 123 nt
Filed under: Triticum aestivum (bread wheat)
Lineage: Eukaryota; Viridiplantae; Streptophyta; Magnoliopsida; Poales; Poaceae
Description: partial small subunit ribosomal RNA
Source: RNAcentral